Molecule: long non-coding RNA, 261 nt
Filed under: Prunus dulcis (almond)
Lineage: Eukaryota; Viridiplantae; Streptophyta; Magnoliopsida; Rosales; Rosaceae
Description: sRNA ncRNA
Source: RNAcentral
CGCGUGGGGGUAAUAAAAGGGUCAAGAUCAAAGGGGGGGCCCCAAAUGACUAAAGGCGUCGCUUUUGCAGAAUGCCCCUCGACUUUUACGCGGGUGCUGCCUCUGCGCUCUCUGCCUCUCUCAGCCUUUCAUCGUACUUUUGUCACGUCAAUCAUCUGCACGCGCCCCGACCUCGCCUCUGUGCUUACUCUCUCUCUCUAUUUCUCUGUCUCCCUCCCCACCGUACGCGUGUCGCUGAGGAAGGGCUAUUCCCGUCAUUUU